AUUGAACGCUGGCGGCAGGCCUAACACAUGCAAGUCGAGCGGAUGAAGGGAGCUUGCUCCUGUCUUCCGCGGCGGACGGGUGAGUAAUGCCUAGGAAUCUGCCUUGUCUUGGGGGAUAACGUCCGUACACGGGCGCUAAUACCGCAUCCGUCCUGAUGUUGAACGUGGGGGAUCUUCGGACCUCACGCUAUUUGCUGAGCCUAGGUCGGAUUAGCUAGUUGGUGGGGUAAAGGCUUACCAAGGCGACGAUCCGUAACUGGUCUGAGAGGAUGAUCUGUCACACUGGAACUGAGACACGGUCCAGACUCCUACGGGAGGCAGCAGUGGGGAAUAUUGGACAAUGGGCGAAAGCCUGAUCGAGCAAUGCCGCGUGUGUGAAGAAGGUCUUCGGAUUGUAAAGCACUGUAAGUAGGGAGGAAGGGAAGUAAGUGAAAACAUGGAUGUUUUGACGGUACCAAAAGAAUAAGCACCGGCUAACUUCGUG
RNAcentral lists this ribosomal RNA (484 nucleotides) under uncultured bacterium. RNAcentral's name for it is "partial 16S ribosomal RNA". It matches the Rfam family "Bacterial small subunit ribosomal RNA", at positions 30 to 507 of the family's 1533-position model. The record is from RNAcentral.